This 610-nucleotide ribosomal RNA is filed under the name uncultured bacterium. RNAcentral describes it as "bacterial SSU rRNA". It matches the Rfam family "Bacterial small subunit ribosomal RNA", at positions 338 to 951 of the family's 1533-position model. The record is from RNAcentral.
CCUACGGGAGGCAGCAGUAAGGAAUAUUGGUCAAUGGAGGCAACUCUGAACCAGCCAUGCCGCGUGCAGGAAGACGGCCCUAUGGGUUGUAAACUGCUUUUGAACUAGAGAAAACCUUGGUACGUGUACCGAGUUGAUAGUAUAGUUAGAAUAAGCAUCGGCUAACUUCGUGCCAGCAGCCGCGGUAAGACGAAGGAUGCAAGCGUUAUCCGGAUUCAUUGGGUUUAAAGGGUGCGUAGGCGGACUGAUAAGUCAGUGGUGAAAUCUCUCAGCUUAACUGAGAAACUGCCAUUGAUACUGUUAGUCUAGAGUACAGAUGAUGUGGGCGGAAUAUGACAUGUAGUGGUGAAAUACUUAGAUAUGUCAUAGAACACCGAUUGCGAAGGCAGCUCACAAAACUGUAACUGACGCUGAGGCACGAAAGUGCGGGGAUCAAACAGGAUUAGAUACCCUGAUAGUCCGCACCGUAAACGAUGAUUACUCGUUGUUGGCGAUAUGACAGUCAGCGACCAAGCGAAAGCGAUAAGAAUCCACCUGGGGAGUACGCCGGCAACGGUGAAACUCAAANAGAGUUAGAGNGNGAGAGNGCGACGGACGACGAGAGGGAGAG